RNAcentral lists this ribosomal RNA (820 nucleotides) under uncultured Anaerovibrio sp. Its description in RNAcentral is "bacterial SSU rRNA". It matches the Rfam family "Bacterial small subunit ribosomal RNA", at positions 36 to 844 of the family's 1533-position model. The record is from RNAcentral. Lineage: Bacteria; Bacillati; Bacillota; Negativicutes; Selenomonadales; Selenomonadaceae.
CGGGCGGGGUUGCUUACCUGCAGUCGAACGGAGAUUCAGCUUUGGAUCUUAGUGGCAAAAGGGUGAGUAACGCGUAGGCAAUCUGCCUUCUAGAUGGGGACAACAUCCCGAAAGGGGUGCUAAUACCGAAUGUUGUACCGUUUCCGCAUGGAGAUGAUACUAAAGGUGGCCUCUGAAUAUGCUACCGCUAGAAGAUGAGCCUGCGUCUGAUUAGCUAGUUGGAGGGGUAACGGCCCACCAAGGCUUCGAUCAGUAGCCGGUCUGAGAGGAUGAACGGCCACACUGGGACUGAGACACGGCCCAGACUCCUACGGGAGGCAGCAGUGGGGAAUCUUCCGCAAUGGACGAAAGUCUGACGGAGCAACGCCGCGUGAGUGAAGAAGGUUUUCGGAUCGUAAAGCUCUUUCGUUAGGGACGAACGUGCUCUUUGUGAAUAAUGAGGAGUAAUGACGGUACCUAAAUAAGAAGCCACGGCUAACUACGUGCCAGCAGCCGCGGUAAUACGUAGGUGGCAAGCGUUGUCCGGAAUUAUUGGGCGUAAAGCGCGCGCAGGCGGGAUAUCAAGUCUGUCUUAAAAGUGCGAGGCUCAACCUCGUGAGGGGACGGAAACUGGUAUUCUUGAGUGUCGGAGAGGAAAGUGGAAUUCCAAGUGUAGCGGUGAAAUGCGUAGAGAUUUGGAAGACACCAGUGGCGAAAGCGACUUUCUGGACGAUGUCUGACGCUGAGGCGCGAAAGCUAGGGGAGCGAACGGGAUUAGAUACCCCGGUAGUCCUAGCCGUAAACGAUGGGUACUAGGUGUAGGGGUAUCGACCCCUCCUGU